GAUGAACGCUAGCUACAGGCUUAACACAUGCAAGUCGAGGGGAAACGACAUCGAAAGCUUGCUUUUGAUGGGCGUCGACCGGCGCACGGGUGAGUAACGCGUAUCCAACCUGCCCACCACUUGGGGAUAACCUUGCGAAAGUAAGACUAAUACCCGACGAUAUCUCUAGACGACAUCUGAAAGGGAUUAAAGAUUUAUCGGUGAUGGAUGGGGAUGCGUCUGAUUAGCUUGUUGGCGGGGUAACGGCCCACCAAGGCGACGAUCAGUAGGGGUUCUGAGAGGAAGGUCCCCCCACAUUGGAACUGAGACACGGUCCAAACUCCUACGGGAGGCAGCAGUGAGGAAUAUUGGUCAAUGGACGAGAGUCUGAACCAGCCAAGUAGCGUGCAGGAAGACGGCCCUAUGGGUUGUAAACUGCUUUUAUAAGGGAAUAAAGUGAGAGUCGUGACUCUUUUGCAUGUACCUUAUGAAUAAGGACCGGCUAAUUCCGUGCCAGCAGCCG
RNAcentral lists this ribosomal RNA (502 nucleotides) under uncultured bacterium. Its description in RNAcentral is "bacterial SSU rRNA". It matches the Rfam family "Bacterial small subunit ribosomal RNA", at positions 28 to 517 of the family's 1533-position model. The record is from RNAcentral.